AUGUUUUUUCCUUCCAGCAUAACAAGAGUUUUAUAUUAUGAAAUACAAGCUGUAACAUCAAUUGCUGAUGAUGCUAAAACUAUUAGUCACUGUCCUUUGAGCCUGACUUUAAGAACAAGUGGAAAAGUAUAUCAUCUAAAAUACCUAAAACAGAUGGAUUUUACUAAGGAAAUGGUUCAGCUGCAAACUGUCAUUUCUGUACAUCUCCAGGUAAUCUGUCACUCCGAAUGAAGUUCCCUGGAAUUAAAUUUCAGGAGUGUGCAGCUUUGUGGGUUUUCCUGACUUAAUAGCUAGUUCUGAACCCAUAUACUCAGCUACUUGCAUGUUGUGGAGGCAAAAUUUCUGGUCACUUUAUUUACAAAAAUUACUUGGAGGGAAAUAAGGCCAAAUUUCUCAUUCAUUUCUACCAUAACAUUUGUUUUUCUUGGCCUCUGAAAACUUUCCAAAAUGUAGUGUUACUCUUGCUUUAUUUUACUGGUUUGGUUUUACAAACUAGUUAUACCCUUAACGUGUAAGGAAGCUUCCGUCAAAAUUCAUGCAUGUAUGGCCAUUCAUCUCAGUGGAAGCUGGAUCAGAUUUUUUGCUGUAGACAUUGCAUAUGCUUAUUGAUUGUAGGGCAUGGCAGUGUUUCCUACAGUUAAUGUUGCCUAGUUCUUCCUAUCAGAAGAUUAAGCCUCUGUUGCUUAUUCUUAAUUCCUUUUACUGUACUGUUACAGUAGCCUAAUAUAGCCUAAUAUGUGAGGAGUUUAAAUAUUUUGGGUGUUUUUUAGGAUCAGUAGUGAAAUGUGGCUACUUAGAAAUGAUCUCCCUUUCUAUGGAGCAAAGGAGUUCUGCAAGUUGUUCUACAAGACUACAUAUUUCAGAUUUUUAUAGUGGAAUUAACAGCAGAAAUAGAGAUGGUUUUACAUGUAUUUUCUCCAUGAGCUGUUAAAAUAGAAUUCAGAAAUCCAGCACAUAAUCUACAUCCAUCAUAGACAACAUGCCUGAAAUUCUUUCAUUUGGUCUCUUCGGUAAAAGGCUGUUUCUUUUACAGGUGCAUCAUACUGAAAGAACUCAAAACUUGGACAAGAGUUAAUGCUACUAUGAAUGUAACUUGAAAAGUAGAGAGAUUUAGUGUUUUAANNNNNNNNNNNNNNNNNNNNNNNNNNNCCCAUUCCUGACUCUUUUUGAUGACAAAAGUCAGACAUGUUCUUGACACUGACAGUAAAUUUGUAGUACUGCAAGGCUUAUUUCCCAUUUUUAAUUAAUGAAGUCAGAGCAUACUGUGAUGCAUGUGACACAACUGGAAAUGACUGCUGUGAAUUGCCAGCUAGCAUCUUUUUGACCUAGCGGUCAGCUUGAAUCCUUAACUAUUGUGGCAUAAUAAAGUAAGAGACAGGACAGAGCUGGGAAGAACA
This 1397-nucleotide long non-coding RNA is filed under the name Struthio camelus australis. Its description in RNAcentral is "lncRNA (ENSSCUG00000003079.1)". The record is from RNAcentral. Lineage: Eukaryota; Metazoa; Chordata; Aves; Struthioniformes; Struthionidae.